GGGGGCUGUCGCUGACCCUUGUAAAGGGGGUCGUGCACGCCCCUUUACCCAUCUUAACACAUCCCUUGUGCAUCACCGCGUGGGCAUUUUAAUCGAUGCCUGCGUUUUUCAUACAAACUCGAUUCAAAAGUAUUAGAAUGGUUCAUUAUAAUGAUAAUAAUAUAACUUUCAACAACGGAUCUCUUGGCUCUCGCAUCGAUGAAGAACGCAGCGAAAUGCGAUACGUAAUGUGAAUUGCAGAAUUCAGUGAAUCAUCGAAUCUUUGAACGCACCUUGCACCCUUCGGUAUUCCGAAGGGUACGCCUGUUUGAGUGUCAUGAAACAUUCAACCUUUAUCUCUUGAAUUUAUUUGGGAGUAAAGGCUUGGACUUUGGAGGUUACUGCUGGCCAUAUAUAGAUGGUCAGCUCCUCUUAAACGAAUUAGUAGGGUCCCUUUUAACCGAUCCUUUGAUGUGAUAAGGAUUCUCCUACAUCUUGAUGGGUUUCGGUUUUGUAAAGGCCUGCUUAUAAUCUCUUAAUAAAGAACCCUUUGACCUCAAAUCAGGCGAGACUACCCGCUGAACUUAAGCAUAUAG
RNAcentral lists this ribosomal RNA (575 nucleotides) under Lactifluus tenuicystidiatus. Its description in RNAcentral is "eukaryotic LSU rRNA". The stretch from base 164 to 317 matches the Rfam family "5.8S ribosomal RNA". Lineage: Eukaryota; Fungi; Basidiomycota; Agaricomycetes; Russulales; Russulaceae. The record is from RNAcentral.